This 74-nucleotide transfer RNA is filed under the name Bacteroidota bacterium. Its description in RNAcentral is "tRNA-Arg". It matches the Rfam family "tRNA". From Rfam's summary of the family: Transfer RNA (tRNA) molecules are approximately 80 nucleotides in length. Their secondary structure includes four short double-helical elements and three loops (D, anti-codon, and T loops). Further hydrogen bonds mediate the characteristic L-shaped molecular structure. tRNAs have two regions of fundamental functional importance: the anti-codon, which is responsible for specific mRNA codon recognition, and the 3' end, to which the tRNAs corresponding amino acid is attached (by aminoacyl-tRNA synthetases). tRNAs cope with the degeneracy of the genetic code in two manners: having more than one tRNA (with a specific anti-codon) for a particular amino acid; and 'wobble' base-pairing, i.e. permitting non-standard base-pairing at the 3rd anti-codon position. The record is from RNAcentral. RNAcentral also lists the same sequence under 2 other names. Lineage: Bacteria; Pseudomonadati; Bacteroidota.
GGUCCUAUAGCUCAACUGGAUAGAGCAACUGCCUUCUAAGCAGUAGGUUUCAGGUUCGAGUCCUGAUGGGACUG